AUGGAUGACAGUUGCGCGGUGUGCGCGGACGCGCUCGAAUGGGUGGCUUACGGGCCGUGCGGGCACCGCGAGGUGUGUUCAACCUGCGUCGUCCGCCUUCGCUUCGUACUCGAGGAUUCUCUAUGCUGCAUCUGUAAGACGGAUUGCCCCUCCGUCUUCGUCACAAAGGCCAUGGGAGAUUACACAAAAGUGAUCUCGGAUUUCUCUGUUUUGCCCACUGAGGCAAAUGAGGGAAAUGUGGGGGAGUACUGGUACCAUGAGGAUACAAAGGCAUACUUUGAUGAUGCUGAUCAUUAUAAGAUGAUAAGGGCGAUGUGCCGACUUUCUUGUAGUGUAUGUGACAAAGCUGAGGACCAGGUUGGUCAGGCAGCACAAGCAAAGCGCCGAAGCAGGUUCAAGAGCAUUGAUCAGCUAAAGGGACAUUUGUUCCAUCAGCAUAGGUUAUACAUGUGUAAUCUUUGCUUGGAGGGGAGAAAGGUAUUCAUUUGUGAACAGAAGCUUUAUACAAGGGCACAGUUAGCUCAGCAUACAAAAACUGGUGACUCUGAGGUGGAUGGCUCUGAGAUUGAACGCAGUGGUUUUGCAGGACACCCAGUGUGUGAAUUUUGUAAAUAUCCAUUAUAUGGAGAUAAUGAGCUUUACACACAUAUGUCCAGAGAACACUAUUCGUGCCACAUAUGUCAAAGGCAGCAUCCUGGGCAGUAUGAUUAUUUCCGGAACUAUGAUGAUUUAGAGAUGCAUUUUCGUAAAGAUCAUUUCCUCUGUGAAGAUGAUGCAUGUUUGGCCAAGAAAUUUGUUGUCUUCCAGAGUGACGCAGAGAUCAAGAGACAUAAUGCUAUGGAGCAUGGUGGGCGGAUGUCUCGUGCCCAGAGGAAUGCGGCACUUCAGAUACCUACCAGUUUUAUAUACCAAAGGAAUGAGCAAGAUCAAAGGCGUGGCAGAGGUAGGGGUCGUAAUGCUCACCAUGACAGACCUGACAGGGAUUUCUCAUUACCUGUGCGGGAUGGCAGUGCAACUGCAGACCAUGGCCUUGGAAGUCGAGUUGAUAGUGUUGCAGGGCCUUUCCAGUCAUUAAGUGUCAGUUCCAGUUCUGGUCGAACAGAAACUGGUCGAAGCUUAGGGAAUGGUCGCUUGCUCGAGCAGUUGUCUUUUCCUCCACUUCAAGAUCAGGAUAUUCCUGAUGCCAGGAUGGAUGCUGUUCCCUAUGGAACCUCGUUUCCUCCCGUCUCAGAGCAGCAAUCAAGGUAUGCGCUGGCUCUUAAUCAGAGCUCAAGGGGUUCUGCGAGGCUUGGUGAUGAAUCAUUAUUCCCUCCAUUGCCUGGGUCAAGUAACAAGGGUUCUGCUUCAACACAACAGGGGUUGCAAAGUCUUGCUAAGAACACACUUGCAUCAAGGCUGCAACAACGUAGUAAGGGCACCGUGAAGGUACUAUAUUCUGCUCAGUCUCAAACAGCUGAAAAUCCUGAGAUUGUACCUCAUGUUUCCACUUCCACCCAGACAUGGCCUACACCUGAGCAGGGGUUACAUCUCUCUGGUUCUUCUCAACUUUGGAUUGUAACUCAAUCAACAAGAGAAAAUGGGCUCAUGCCAUCUGCCUCCAGCGGUUCAGCAUGGAAUUCCAGAGCUUCAAACAAGAUGAAGCACUCUAUUUCGACCCCUAAUUUUGUUUCUGGUGGGUCCUCUGCCCAGGCAUCAAGUACAGCUUAUGGCAAUAAAAAGCAACUGCCACCGCAAAGCAGCCAACCUUUGCCUGUUGUGGAGGAUGUUCGGCAAGCAAACAAAUCCCUUGUGGAAAGAAUGCGUGUUGCAUUAGGAAUGGAUGAGGAUAGGUUCUCUGCGUUCAAAGAAAUUGCUAGUGAAUACCGUCAAGGCGUCAUUGAUACUUCAGAGUAUCUCUCGUAUGUGGAGCAGUUUGGUAUAUCACAUCUUGUUCCUGAAAUGGCUAAGUUGUUGCCUGAUCCUCUGAAGCAGAUGGAACUUGCUGAUGCCUAUUACACCAACAUGCGUUUUAGAAGUCUCCAAGAAAACGACGGUUGUGGAACCAUUACUGUGAAAGAGAACAAGCGUAGAAAUAAGGGGAAGGGAAAAACACCUGAUGCAGAAACAGCUCCUGCUAAGGAUGCAAGUGAAUCGCUAGCUGAUAGCUUUAUGGACACUGUAAGGAAGCUUCAGUUGAACAACAAGGCUCAAGAAGGAGAGGCUGCAGUGCUUUCGAAGGAUGGGUAUCGAUCUUCCAAGGAAAAAAUCCCACUAUCAGCUGGAGGGUCAUCCUGUGGUACAAAUAUGGGUCUAGACGGUGAUCCAGUUGCCAUUUCAAAGGCGUCUGGCACUAGUAGGUAUGUGGGCAAGGGUAGCAGCAGCAGUAACAACAAACAAUCGAAGAAGACAUCAAAGUUUCUCAGAGCUCGGUUGGGUGACAACUCAUUGGCUACACUUGAUUUUAGUCAUCCUGAUGUGAGCCCUGAACGACCUGUAAGGGAGACACAAGUCCUGCAAACUGGGUUGCCUGUGCGAAGUGUUUGGAAGAAUGGUGCAGCACAGAAGCUCUUUUCCAGCAAUGGAAAGAAAUAG
This 2571-nucleotide ribosomal RNA is filed under the name Triticum aestivum (bread wheat). Its description in RNAcentral is "partial small subunit ribosomal RNA". Lineage: Eukaryota; Viridiplantae; Streptophyta; Magnoliopsida; Poales; Poaceae. The record is from RNAcentral.